GACGAACGCUGGCGGCGUGCCUAAUACAUGCAAGUCGAGCGAAGUUUUUCUGGUGCUUGCACCGGAACAACUUAGCGGCGAACGGGUGAGUAAUACGUAAAGAACCUGUCUCUUUGACUGGGACAACUAUUGGAAACGAUAGCUAAUACCGGAUAACAGCAUUAACUGCAUGGUUGAUGUUUAUAAGUUGGUUUUGCUAACACUAUGCGAUGGCUUUGCGGUGAAUUAGCUAGUUGGUGGGGUAAAGACCUACCAGGGCGACGAUGCGUAGCCGACCUGAGAGGAUGAUCGCCCACACUGGGACUGAGACACGGCCCAGACUCCUGCGGGAGGCAGCAGUAGGGAAUCUUCCGCAAUGGGCGAAAGCCUGACGGAGCAACGCCGCGUGAGUGAAGAAGGAUUUCGGUUCGUAAAGCUCUGUUGUUAGGGAAGAAUAAUUGUAUAGUAACUAGACGCGGUAGAGACGGUACCUAACCAGAAAGCCACGGCUAACUACGUG
This 499-nucleotide ribosomal RNA is filed under the name uncultured bacterium. RNAcentral's name for it is "partial 16S ribosomal RNA". It matches the Rfam family "Bacterial small subunit ribosomal RNA", at positions 28 to 507 of the family's 1533-position model. The record is from RNAcentral.